Molecule: ribosomal RNA, 516 nt
Filed under: uncultured bacterium
Lineage: Bacteria
Description: bacterial SSU rRNA
Rfam family: Bacterial small subunit ribosomal RNA
Source: RNAcentral
GCAACGCGAAGAACCUUACCAAGGCUUGACAUGAACCGGAACGGCGCAGAGAUGUGUCGGCCACUUGUGGCCGGUUUACAGGUGGUGCAUGGUUGUCGUCAGCUCGUGUCGUGAGAUGUUGGGUUAAGUCCCGCAACGAGCGCAACCCUCGUUCCAUGUUGCCAGCGGGUUAUGCCGGGGACUCAUGGGAGACUGCCGGGGUCAACUCGGAGGAAGGUGGGGACGACGUCAAAUCAUCAUGCCCCUUAUGUCUUGGGCUUCACGCAUGCUACAAUGGCCGGUACAAAGGGUUGCGAUGCUGUGAGGUGGAGCUAAUCCCAAAAAGCCGGUCUCAGUUCGGAUUGAGGUCUGCAACUCGACCUCAUGAAGUCGGAGUCGCUAGUAAUCGCAGAUCAGCAACGCUGCGGUGAAUACGUUCCCGGGCCUUGUACACACCGCCCGUCAAGUCACGAAAGUUGGUAACACCCGAAGCCGGUGGCCUAACCCCUUGUGGGAGGGAGCCGUCGAAGGUGGGAC